This 8296-nucleotide small RNA is filed under the name Pongo abelii (Sumatran orangutan). Its description in RNAcentral is "processed transcript". Lineage: Eukaryota; Metazoa; Chordata; Mammalia; Primates; Hominidae. The record is from RNAcentral.
GUAUACUUGAGAGUAUAUUGGACUUGGAAACGAAAGGAAUCAGGAAUGCACGUAUGGCGGGUGUCGGGGCGCGCAGCAAUGAGAUCCAGACUCGUCGGCAGCAGCUCCAGCACCUUGGCUACCUUUAAAUACAGUCAGUCAAGGAAAAGCAGGAUAAAUGCUGUUUCCUUCCCUGUUUAUUAAUUUUUAGAAUGAUGAAUUCAUGCCACUAGUGGCCUCUAAUUCUUGUUUUUAUUUUUGGAGUGUCAUUAGGAGCUCAGGUAUUUUAAAAUAAAUGGUAUGUGUUUUAGUCUAUUGCAGUCAUUAUUCAGUUUGAUAUUAAAAUUAACACCUCUGUAGAUUCAAGUUGUUGUGUCGACAUGGCCUUUUUCAUUUUAACAAGUUAAUAUGAUUAAACUUCCUUGUUUUCUGGCACAGAAGAAUGUCCCAGGCCCACCUUAUGCAAUUCCUUCCCCAAACCUAGAACCCAACUUCCCUCCCAGGAAGCCCUUAUAUCCUUUUAAGGAGAUGAUAGGAUUUAGAGACUACAAAUCUAAGGACUGGGUAUGUUUAUUUCUACUGGGUUGUCAUUUCUUCUCUGCCUUUUUUAGUGGACAAAGCUAGGAAAUAUGUAUUUUUUUAGAAAGACAAGUCAUGAGUUUAUACUGACACUUUCACUUUUUCUUGGAUUCUUUUAUUUGUAUUUCUUACUAAUGUUGAUAUCUUGAUUCCUAACAUUAACAUAAUCACUUAUUUGCUUUGUCUUUCUACAUAUAUAACAUUUUCAAAAUAAGAUGACCAACAUGAUCACUAAUAACAGUCCUGCUGAGUGCAGUUGAAGAUGUCUUUGUGGUUCUUUUCAUUCUUAGCAUACUAUUAUGGUUAUACAGUGAAAAUACUGUAUUAUAAAAGCACUUAAAAUAGUUUUCUUUAUUUGGUCAGGCUGCCAACUUCAACCAAUUAGGUAGGUAGGUAGGCUUUUUUUUCCAGUUUGUUUUAUAGUUUUUUGGGAUUCCUUUGGGUUUUUGUUUGUUUGCUUAAUUUUGUUUUUAAUCAUGUGAAAUGUCUACAUGGUUCUAAAAGCAACGUUGUGAAACAGCACAUUCAGAGAGGUUCUAGCUUUUAUCCCUUUCCCCUCCUCUUAUUCGUUCCCUCUCUGUGUAGGUAACUGACUUUUUUUUUCUGUUGAAGAUACAAGCAAAUCUAUGUAUACAUGUAUUUACACAUGUAAAUAUUCUCUCCCCUACUUCAUAACACAAAGAAAGAUAGCAAAGUAUACACACUCUUCUGCGCCUUACUUUCUUCACUUAGUGUAGCCUAGAGAUCAUUAUUACAUAGUAGUAUAGAGUGAUCUUCUUUACGCCUUUUCACAGCUGCAUACAUUUAAUUUGUAUUUCAUUUGGAAUGUGCCUGGGUUUUUUAAGCCCCAGACUUCUUUUCUGCCAUCACAACUUGAUUCUGAUUAACUCUCCAGCCUGCUGACCCUCUUCUUUUCAAGAUAAUCAUAUCUUUGUGUCUUGCAACCUCUUCACAUCCUGUUUAUUUUUACUGUCAUGCUGUUUUAUUCAUAUUGUCCACCAGCACAGAACACCUCUCUCUCCUUUGUCUAUCUGUAUCCCCAUUCUAUCCAUUCAUUUGGCCAUGACCCAGAUCACUCUAUACCUUCUUCAAAACCUUUCUCCCUUUCUGUAGUCCACUCAGAACUCUUCCUUCUUAGAACCUUCUUUGAAAAGAAAUAUUUUACAUAUUUUAGCACUUUAUUAUUUUCUAAGGAUUCAUGUUUAACAGAUUCAGUUCCUUAAAUCAGUUUUUUAAGGGCUGAAAAUAAGAUUUUUUUGCUAUCUAUUCCCAGUGACACCUUUUAUAGUCCCUGAAAUAAUAAUCAGUAAGUGAUCAGAGGGUAUUAAAAUGAGAUAUUAGAAACAACUUCAGUGUUUAAGAAAAUCAUGUUUCUUUAGAUAUUCACAAUGAAUAAAAACAUUUCUGAUAGUUUUUCAAGAUAAUUUUUGAAUGUCAUUGAAUACUAAACUGAAAUAUUUUUAAAGUUAUAUCAAGAACAUUACCUUUAAGACACACUUAGGAAAGUCUUUUAGUCAUUUACCAUUUUUAUUUAUUUGCCAACUCUUUAGGCCUUUAACUCACAGAGCUUCUGUUCAUUUUUCUCUUUUGGUCAGGUAGCAGCUGUCUCUGACUGAUUCAAAAUGUUGCAUUAAAAUGAGCUGUACUAUUUUCACCAUUGCAUAUGUUCAUCUUUUGCUUUUGGGAAAUGACACGAUGUGAUUCAGCAUGUUAAUUUAAAUAUCACCCAAAAUGUAAUCAUUUCCAGAUCCAUUUGCUGACAUUUAAUACUAUUCACAGUUUAAAAUGUCAUAAAACUAAAUACAGUGAUAUUUGUGUCAAUGCUGAUUUUUAAAGUAAAAUAUAUAUGUUUUCUUGUUGGCAAAGUUAUUGUCUAAAUAAUACAUACUGUACACAGUAGAAUCAGGUAUAAUAUCUACAGCAUGUAAGGGCCACUUAAAAAAUCAUGAAUGAACAUUUGGUUUAGGUUUGUGCUGCAAAAGACAAUUGUCAUUGUCUUAAGUAACACUGUAAAUUUUGGUUUUAGGGCCUGUUAAUAAAAGAUUGGUUAAAACAACUCUUCCAUGGAUGUAUACAUAGAAUUGUCUGCGUAGGGUUUGAGAGUUUUUCACCUUUUGUUCUAGGGAGUAGUGAAUGCUUACAAGCUAAAGAUAGGUUUUAGUUCUAGAAAUUUCACCAAAGGAAGAAGAGUAAAUAAGUUUUAAGGUCUAAAGUAAGCUUUCCCUUCUAGUUCAGUUUUUCUGUGAGAAAAACUAAAAAUUAUCUUCCUUUAUCCCAGUUUCUUUCCUGUAUUCCUUUAGCAAGUCGUUUCCAAAAUUCUUUCCCCAAAAGCUAGCUGGCUAGUUUGCUUGCUUUUUAAAAUAUAUUUUAUAUGAAAAAAUUUCAAACAUACAGAGACUAGAAAGAAUAAUGUAAUAAAUACCAUGGAACCAUCACCUAGAUUUAACAAUUGUUACUAUUUUUAUUAUAUUGACAUCAUUUCUUCUUUUUCUGAACUAUUUUAACAUAUAUAUAGAAAUUAUGAUAUUUUACCUCUAAAUUCUUUUUUAAAAUAUUUUCCUAUGUAACAUAACAACAUUAUUACAUCUAACAAAAUUAGCAUUAAUCCUCUGUCAUCAAAUACUCAGUGCAUAAUCAGAUUUCUGUACUUAUCCUCAGAAUGUCUUUUGUAGGUUCUUUAUUCAAAUCAGAUGCAACCAAAUAAAUCUAGCAGUAUAAUUUAAUUACUAAGUAAUUUAAAUGUAAGAAUUAAAAUUCUAAAUGACUAAAAAAUUAUUACUUUUUUUAAAGCAUGGAGCCAAGUUAGUUUUGUAUUUGUCAGAGUUGAUACAUAAUCACCAAGAUGAAUUGACUGAAGAAGAGCUGGACACAGCAGAACUGCUUAUGAAUGCUUUGAAGUUAUGUGGUCACAAGUGCAUCCCUCCCAGUGCAUCAACAAAAGCAGACCUUAUUAAAAUGAUCAAAGAGGAACAAAAGAAAUAUGAAGCUGAAGAAGGAGUGAAUAAAGCUGCUUGGCAUAAAACAGUUAACAAUAAUCAACAAAGUCUCUUUCAGCGUCUGGAUUCAAAAUCAAAGGAUAUAUCUAAAAUAGCUGCAGAUAUCACCCAGGCAGUGUCUCUCUCCCAAGGAAUUGAGAGAAAAAAGGUGAUCCAGCAUAUUAGAGGAAUGUAUAAAGUAGAUUUGAGUGCCAGCAGACAUUGGCAGGAACUUAUUCAGCAACUGACACAUGAUAGAGCAGUAUGGUAUGACCCCAUCUACUAUCCAACCUCAUGGCAGUUGGAUCCAACAGAAGGGCCAAAUCGAGAGAGGAGACGUUUACAGAGAUGUUAUUUAACUAUUCCAAAUAAGUAUCUCCUUAGGGAUAGACAAAAAUCAGAAGAUGUUGUCAAACCACCACUCUCUUACCUAUUUGAAGACAAAACUCAUUCUUCUUUCUCUUCUACUGUCAAAGACAAAGCUGCAAGUGAAUCUAUAAGAGUAAAUCGAAGAUGUAUCAGUGUUGCACCAUCUAGAGAGACAGCUGGUGAAUUGUUACUAGGUAAAUGUGGAAUGUAUUUUGUGGAAGAUAAUGCUUCUGAUACAGUUGAAAGUUCGAGCCUUCAGGGAGAGUUGGAACCAGCAUCAUUUUCCUGGACAUAUGAAGAAAUUAAAGAAGUUCACAAGCGUUGGUGGCAAUUGAGAGAUAAUGCUGUAGAAAUCUUUCUAACAAAUGGCAGAACACUCCUGUUGGCAUUUGAUAACACCAAGGUUCGUGAUGAUGUAUACCACAAUAUACUCACAAAUAACCUCCCUAAUCUUUUGGAAUAUGGUAACAUCACCGCUCUGACAAAUUUAUGGUAUACUGGGCAAAUUACUAAUUUUGAAUAUUUGACUCACUUAAACAAACAUGCUGGCCGAUCCUUCAAUGAUCUCAUGCAGUAUCCUGUGUUCCCAUUUAUACUUGCUGACUACAUUAGUGAGACACUUGACCUCAAUGAUCCGUUGAUAUACAGAAAUCUCUCUAAACCUAUAGCUGUUCAGUAUAAAGAAAAAGAAGAUCGUUAUGUGGACACAUACAAGUACUUGGAGGAAGAGUACCGCAAAGGAGCCAGAGAAGAUGACCCCAUGCCUCCCGUGCAGCCCUAUCACUAUGGCUCCCACUAUUCCAACAGCGGCACUGUGCUUCACUUCCUGGUCAGGAUGCCUCCUUUCACUAAGAUGUUUUUAGCCUAUCAAGAUCAAAGUUUUGAUAUUCCAGACAGAACUUUUCAUUCUACGAAUACAACUUGGCGACUCUCGUCUUUUGAAUCUAUGACUGACGUGAAAGAACUUAUCCCAGAGUUUUUCUAUCUUCCAGAGUUCCUAGUUAACCGUGAAGGUUUUGAUUUUGGUGUGCGUCAGAAUGGUGAACGGGUUAAUCACGUCAACCUUCCCCCUUGGGCACGUAAUGAUCCUCGUCUUUUUAUCCUCAUCCAUCGGCAGGCUCUAGAGUCUGACUACGUGUCGCAGAACAUCUGUCAGUGGAUUGACUUGGUGUUUGGGUAUAAGCAAAAGGGGAAGGCUUCUGUUCAAGCAAUCAAUGUUUUUCAUCCUGCUACAUAUUUUGGAAUGGAUGUCUCUGCAGUUGAAGAUCCAGUUCAGAGACGAGCGCUAGAAACCAUGAUAAAAACCUACGGGCAGACUCCCCGUCAGCUGUUCCACACGGCCCAUGUGAGCAGACCUGGAGCCAAGCUCAAUAUUGAAGGAGAGCUUCCAGCUGCUGUGGGGUUGCUAGUGCAGUUUGCUUUCAGGGAGACCCGAGAACAGGUCAAAGAAAUCACCUAUCCGAGUCCUUUGUCAUGGAUAAAAGGCUUGAAAUGGGGGGAAUACGUGGGUUCCCCCAGUGCUCCAGUACCUGUGGUCUGCUUCAGCCAGCCCCACGGAGAAAGAUUUGGCUCUCUCCAGGCUCUGCCCACCAGAGCAAUCUGUGGUUUGUCACGGAAUUUCUGUCUUCUGAUGACAUAUAGCAAGGAACAAGGUGUGAGAAGCAUGAACAGCACAGACAUUCAGUGGUCAGCCAUCCUGAGCUGGGGAUAUGCUGAUAAUAUUUUAAGGUUGAAGAGUAAACAAAGUGAGCCUCCAAUAAACUUCAUUCAAAGUUCACAACAGUACCAGGUGACUAGUUGUGCUUGGGUGCCUGACAGUUGCCAGCUGUUUACUGGAAGCAAAUGUGGUGUCAUCACAGCCUACACAAACAGAUUUACAAGCAGCACGCCAUCAGAAAUAGAAAUGGAGACUCAGAUACAUCUCUAUGGUCACACAGAAGAGAUAACCAGCUUAUUUGUUUGCAAACCAUACAGUAUACUGAUAAGUGUGAGCAGAGAUGGAACCUGCAUCAUAUGGGAUUUAAACAGGUUAUGCUAUGUACAAAGUCUGGCGGGACACAAAAGCCCUGUCACAGCUGUCUCUGCCAGUGAAACUUCAGGUGACAUUGCUACUGUGUGUGAUUCAGCUGGCGGAGGCAGUGACCUCAGACUCUGGACGGUGAAUGGGGAUCUCGUUGGACAUGUCCACUGCAGGGAGAUCAUCUGUUCCGUGGCUUUCUCCAACCAGCCUGAGGGAAUAUCUAUCAAUGUAAUUGCUGGGGGAUUAGAAAAUGGAAUUGUAAGGUUAUGGAGCACAUGGGACUUAAAGCCUGUGAGAGAAAUUACAUUUCCCAAAUCAAAUAAGCCCAUCAUCAGCCUUACAUUUUCUUGUGAUGGCCACCAUUUGUACACAGCAAACAGUGAUGGGACCGUGAUCGCCUGGUGUCGGAAGGACCAGCAGCGCUUGAAACAGCCAAUGUUCUAUUCCUUCCUUAGCAGCUAUGCAGCCGGGUGAAUGCGAAUGAACUUCACGUUCUCCAAAGCACUUUAACUCCAAACUAGAUUUGUUGACUUCACCAGUUUUAGGAGGUUGAACCUAAAGAAAUGGAUGACUGGACAAACCAUCCAAAUAAUGAUAAAGUCUAUUCAUCUGCACAAAAUUCUGAAGAGUCACAUGAUCCUAAGAGGAAAGUUCUGUUCUAUUUUAGUGAUAAUCUAGAAGGUUGUGUCAAUAUGCACUAGCCAACAAGUUUUAAGCCUUGCAUGGUACAUUAAAAUGACAUUCUUAAAAUGUUUUCCCACCAAGGUAUUCCAAAGAAAAUAUUAAGGUCUCCCCUUUUUCUAUGAUUCCAAAAGGACCAGUAGAAUUUAAAUUGGUUGGCUAAUUGUUUAUAUAAAACACACUAAAAUUAUAUUUUAAAAGUUUUCUGCCAUGAAAUACUCCUCCCACCACACACACAUGCUCCAAAAGAGGAAAGAAAAAAAGAUAAUUUUUAGGACUUGAUAAUUGCUUUAUUUGAGAAGCAAAUUAUUCAGUAGGUGCCUCUGUACCAAAUAUUUUAUGGAAUAUCUGAAUACUAAAAAUAAACUACGAAUGAAUCUCAAAAUUAGGAAGUUUUUGCCAGUUGCCUUCUUAGCUCAAAGGAGAACCAGAAUUUUUUUGACAGCCACAAACAAGAAUACAGGUAUCUUGGAUUUCAGACACAUUCUGUUUCUUCAUAAACAUUUUACUUAAAAUCUAUAACGCUAGAUAUUGACUAUCCUUAGUUGAGUCACUGAGGUUUAAACACAAUGGUAAGUCUUAAAGUCUGCUAUUUACAGAGCACUGAAUCUGUACCAAUUUGCAAUAGAAAGCCUCCAGGAUGCAAGAAGUUUGCAUGGGUAUUAAGAAUACAGCCUAAAUAAGGCAUUUAAUCUAAUCUGCAGGAAGAAUUUUCUUCCCCAAAACAGAAUUAUAAAAGCUUACUUUAUUUUAAAUAGGAGGCAGAAGAAUUAUUUUAGGAAACCAUUUCAUUCUGUUUCUACUAACCUAUACCAUCUGAGAAUUGUAGGAAGAAUAAUAAAAGCUCAUGUAUUCCACAGCAAACUUACAUACCAUAAAGACAGGAUUCCUAAACAUCUUGGAGCCGUCUGUCUCUCCCAUAUGAUGGCUGUCUGUAUAUUUUUACUUGGGGUGCUGCUUUAUUGGCUUUGAAAACACUGUCAGAUAAGCUCAGUAAUAUGUUACCAUGGGAUAAAAAUACGUAUCCCUGCCUAAGAAUAACUUGUGCAUUUGUUAUGGAAAUUUAAUUCAUAUGGUGUUUACAGUACUACUUUUGUAACUUCCAGACUUUCUAAAACAUUCUGCUUAAAAACCAUAUAAAAUAUAAUUCCAAAGUCUCUGCUGUCAAGAUAGAUUCAAGACAAAGCAAGUGGCCACGUAUGCUUUAACCUUAAACUGCAUACACAUGUAGUGAUACCUAGGCUGCAUCUAGAUCACCGUGUGCUCAGGCCAGGUGUUAAUCCUGAGGUCCAUGGAGGUGCAGAGAUGAGAUUACUCCUAUUCACGUUGAAGUGAUUUGCUUUGUUAACAAAAAAUUGCAGCUAUUGUCUAGCUUUCAUUUUUUUACUGAGAACUUUAAAUUAGUCCCCUAUUAGAAUAGGGUUGCUACUCAGUCUUUUUUUAAAAACCGAAUUUCAUCAUUUAUCUAAAGAGAAAAUAUGCAAAAUAACUGGUCUUGUUAAGAGUGCAAUAUUAUAUUUUUAUGUAAAAAUAAAAAUUUGGGGGGAUUAUUUAUUCAGCAUGAAACCUAAUGUGUAUAUGUUUGAAAUACUUCAUAAUGUGCAUGUUGUAGCAAACAUUUCUGUAAAUUAUCACAAGCUCUGUUACCUUUAUAUACACUGCCACUUCAAUUUGGAAAUAAAUUUCAUAAAAG